This 479-nucleotide ribosomal RNA is filed under the name uncultured bacterium. Its description in RNAcentral is "partial 16S ribosomal RNA". It matches the Rfam family "Bacterial small subunit ribosomal RNA", at positions 355 to 827 of the family's 1533-position model. The record is from RNAcentral.
UAGGGAAUCUUCCACAAUGGACGCAAGUCUGAUGGAGCAACGCCGCGUGAGUGAAGAAGGCUUUCGGGUCGUAAAACUCUGUUAUUGAAGAAGAACGUGUGUGACAGUAACUGGUCAUGCAGUGACGGUAUUCAAUCAGAAAGUCACGGCUAACUACGUGCCAGCAGCCGCGGUAAUACGUAGGUGGCAAGCGUUGUCCGGAUUUAUUGGGCGUAAAGCGAGUGCAGGCGGUCUUUUAAGUCUGAUGUGAAAGCCUUCGGCUUAACCGAAGAAGGGCAUCGGAAACUGGGAGACUUGAGUGCAGAAGAGGAGAGUGGAACUCCAUGUGUAGCGGUGAAAUGCGUAGAUAUAUGGAAGAACACCAGUGGCGAAGGCGGCUCUCUGGUCUGUAACUGACGCUGAGGCUCGAAAGCGUGGGUAGCAAACAGGAUUAGAUACCCUGGUAGUCCACGCCGUAACGAUGAAUACUAAGUGUUGGA